RNAcentral lists this ribosomal RNA (373 nucleotides) under uncultured eukaryote. RNAcentral describes it as "partial 18S ribosomal RNA". It matches the Rfam family "Eukaryotic small subunit ribosomal RNA", at positions 592 to 976 of the family's 1831-position model. The record is from RNAcentral.
CAAUAGCGUAUAUUAAAGUUGUUGCAGUUAAAAAGCUCGUAGUUGAAUUUUUGCUUGCCGCCGAUGUCGGAACUUCCGUACGUUCGGCGGCGUGCAUCCUUGGGUGGAACCUGUGUGGCAUUAGGUUGUCGUGCAGGGGAUGCUCAUCGUUUACUGUGAAAAAAUUAGAGUGUUCAAAGCAGGCUUACGCCGUUGAAUAUAUUAGCAUGGAAUAAUAAGAUAGGACCUUGGUACUAUUUUGUUGGUUUGCGCACCGAGGUAAUGAUUAACAGGGACAGUUGGGGGUAUUCGUAUUCCAUUGUCAGAGGUGAAAUUCUUGGAUUUCUGGAAGACGAACUACUGCGAAGGCAUUUACCAAGGAUGUUUUCAUUAA